This is a small nuclear RNA of Schistocerca serialis cubense, 109 nucleotides long. Lineage: Eukaryota; Metazoa; Arthropoda; Insecta; Orthoptera; Acrididae. The record is from RefSeq and is a predicted model, not a curated record.
GUACACGCUUCGGCGGUACAUAUACUAAAAUUGGAACGAUACAGAGAAGAUUAGCAUGGCCCCUGCGCAAGGAUGACACGCAAAAGUGGCCGAGCGGUUCUAGGCGCUU